AGUUUGAUCAUGGCUCAGGAUGAACGCUAGCGGCAGGCUUAAUACAUGCAAGACGAACGGUAAGAUUUGUAGCAAUACGAAUCCUAGAGUGUCGUAAGGGUGCGUAACACGUAUGCAACCUGCCCUGUACAGGAGUAUAGCUCCCCGAAAGGGGAAUUAACCCUCCAUAACAUCAUGAGACGGCAUCGUUUUAUGAUUAAAACUGAGGUGGUACAGGAUGGGCAUGCGACUGAUUAGUUAGUUGGUGAGGUAACGGCUCACCAAGACGAUGAUCAGUAGGGGACCUGAGAGGGUGAUCCCCCACACUGGCACUGAGAUACGGGCCAGACUCCUACGGGAGGCAGCAGUAGGGAAUAUUGGACAAUGGGUGAGAGCCUGAUCCAGCCAUGCCGCGUGCAGGAAGACGGCCUUCUGGGUUGUAAACUGCUUUUAUUUGGGGAUAAAAAGGUCUUGCGAGACCAACUGAAGGUACCAGAUGAAUAAGCCACGGCUAACUACGUGCCAGCAGCCGCGGUAAUACGUAGGUGGCAAGCGUUGUCCGGAUUUAUUGGGUUU
This 555-nucleotide ribosomal RNA is filed under the name uncultured bacterium. RNAcentral's name for it is "bacterial SSU rRNA". It matches the Rfam family "Bacterial small subunit ribosomal RNA", at positions 10 to 561 of the family's 1533-position model. The record is from RNAcentral.